RNAcentral lists this long non-coding RNA (214 nucleotides) under Mytilus galloprovincialis (Mediterranean mussel). The record is from RNAcentral. Lineage: Eukaryota; Metazoa; Mollusca; Bivalvia; Mytilida; Mytilidae.
UGUCGUUUAUAAAAUCAAUGUUAUACAGUAGUCCUAUAGAUAUUCUAUUCAUUUAGUAAUACGUAGAUAUAAGAAGAUGUGGUAUGAGUGCCAAUGAGGCAACUCUCCAUCCAAGUCACAAUUUGUAAAAGUAAAUGUAAUGAAAAAGAGUUUUUCCUUGAUAUUUUCGCGUUUGAAUUCUUACCGCGAAACUACCGCGAAAAUUUCCCUGUUU